CCCUACUAUCGUGCUUGGUACUAACCCGCGCCCUGUAAAGACCUCCUAAAGGAAGGCUUGAUCUUAUCAGAUGGAGGCCAACAGGGCAUGCGCACUCCAGUCACUCGUCUUGUACGCACAGACACAGGGAAAGGAGAGAAGAAGAGAGCACAGCGAAUGAUUAAAACGACUGCUUCAGUUUAUCCGUGGGACCAAUUAGUCGAUAGUAACACAAAGCAUCGGGAACACGCACCCGGCCGAAAGCAGCAACUACAACAAAGAAAAAACUUUCCCCGGAAUGUGCCACUCACCGGAGCUGAAAAGAGUCAGGAAAUAUGAGGAGCUGAGGGUGCAGCAAAGGGGUCAAGGCUGGGACUCGAGCCAGAAGCUGCUGUGAUGAAGAUUAUGGCCUCCAUACCCGAGACGCAUACUUCAACCACCAAGUCAUAAAAAUGCCAAGAUCUUUUUUGUUCAAAUGUAAUUCUUUCAAGAUGAUGUUAUAGGAAAGUAAAGCUGGACAGCGGUGCAGUGGUUAGUGCUGUUGCCUCAGAGCAAGAAAGUUCCUGUAUCAAAUCCUAGCUGGAG
Molecule: long non-coding RNA, 564 nt
Organism: Notolabrus celidotus (New Zealand spotty)
Lineage: Eukaryota; Metazoa; Chordata; Actinopteri; Labriformes; Labridae
Exons: 3
Source: RefSeq, a predicted model, not a curated record